CCUACGGGUCGCAGCAGUGGGGAAUAUUGGACAAUGGGCGAAAGCCUGAUCCAGCCAUGCCGCGUGUGUGAAGAAGGCCUUCGGGUUGUAAAGCACUUUCAGUGGGGAAGAAAGCCUUGGGGCUAAUACCCUCGAGGAAGGACAUCACCCACAGAAGAAGCACCGGCUAACUCCGUGCCAGCAGCCGCGGUAAUACGGAGGGUGCGAGCGUUAAUCGGAAUUACUGGGCGUAAAGCGCGCGUAGGCGGUCUGAUAAGCCGGUUGUGAAAGCCCCGGGCUCAACCUGGGAACGGCAUCCGGAACUGUCAGGCUAGAGUGCAGGAGAGGAAGGUAGAAUUCCCGGUGUAGCGGUGAAAUGCGUAGAGAUCGGGAGGAAUACCAGUGGCGAAGGCGGCCUUCUGGACUGACACUGACGCUGAGGUGCGAAAGCGUGGGUAGCAAACAGGAUUAGAUACCCUGGUAGUC
Molecule: ribosomal RNA, 465 nt
Filed under: Vreelandella stevensii
Lineage: Bacteria; Pseudomonadati; Pseudomonadota; Gammaproteobacteria; Oceanospirillales; Halomonadaceae
Description: partial 16S ribosomal RNA
Rfam family: Bacterial small subunit ribosomal RNA
Source: RNAcentral